UUUGGUUAAGUUAGAAAGGGCGCACGGUGGAUGCCUUGACACUAGGAGUCGAUGAAGGACGGGACUAACGCCGAUAUGCUUCGGGGAGCUGUAAGUAAGCUUUGAUCCGAAGAUUUCCGAAUGGGGAAACCCACCAUACGUAAUGGUAUGGUAUCCUUAUCUGAAUACAUAGGGUAAGGAAGACAGACCCAGGG
This 194-nucleotide ribosomal RNA is filed under the name Bacillus anthracis (anthrax bacterium). Its description in RNAcentral is "partial 23S ribosomal RNA". It matches the Rfam family "Bacterial large subunit ribosomal RNA", at positions 1 to 190 of the family's 2925-position model. The record is from RNAcentral. Lineage: Bacteria; Bacillati; Bacillota; Bacilli; Caryophanales; Bacillaceae.